This 433-nucleotide ribosomal RNA is filed under the name uncultured bacterium. RNAcentral describes it as "partial 16S ribosomal RNA". It matches the Rfam family "Bacterial small subunit ribosomal RNA", at positions 29 to 507 of the family's 1533-position model. The record is from RNAcentral.
AACGAACGCUGGCGGCAUGCCUAACACAUGCAAGUCGAACGAUCCCUUCGGGGAUAGUGGCGCACGGGUGCGUAACGCGUGGGAACCUGCCCUUAGGUUCGGAAUAACUCAGAGAAAUUUGAGCUAAUACCGGAUAAUGUCUUCGGACCAAAGACUUAUCGCCUUUGGAUGGGCCCGCGUUGGAUUAGCUAGUUGGUGGGGUAAAGGCCUACCAAGGCGACGAUCCAUAGCUGGUCUGAGAGGAUGAUCAGCCACACUGGGACUGAGACACGGCCCAGACUCCUACGGGAGGCAGCAGUGGGGAAUAUUGGACAAUGGGCGAAAGCCUGAUCCAGCAAUGCCGCGUGAGUGAUGAAGGCCUUAGGGUUGUAAAGCUCUUUUACCCGGGAUGAUAAUGACAGUACCGGGAGAAUAAGCCCCGGCUAACUCCGUG